GGGGCCGCCAUCUUCCUCUCGCUCCGCGCCUGCGCGGUGGGAGGGCAGGGCGGGGCGGGGCGGGGCGGGAGGAAACGCGGCCAGAUCAUAGAGUCACUGAAUGGUUUGGGUUGGAAGGGACCCCAAGGACCAUCAACUUCCAACCCCCCUGCCACAGGCAGGGCCACCAGCCUCCAGGUCUGGUACUAGACCGGGCUGUCCAGGGCUCCAUCCAACCUGGCCUCGAACACCUCCAGGGAUGGAGCAUCCACAGCCCUCUGUGCAGCCUGUGCCAGCACCUCACCACUCUGUGUGAAGAACUUCCCCUGGCAUCCAACCUAAACCUUCCCUCCUUGAGCUUAAAACCAUUCCCCCUUGUCCUAUCACUGCCCACUCGAGUAAAAAGUUUAUUCCCCUCCUGUUUAUAAUCCCUUUUUAAAUACUGGAAGGCUGCAAUGAAGUCACCCCAUAGCCUUCUGUUUUCCAGGCUGAACAAGCCCAGCUCCCUCUGCCUAACUUCAUAGGGGAGGUGCGCAGCCCUCAGAGCAUUCCACGAAUGGUCCUCUUUUGGAAGAAAUGGAACCGCUUGUGGGGCUGUGGCUGUUCUCAAAGGGAGGCAGGGAGGACAGCUUUUGGGGUUUCUCCUUGGCUGCCUCCCUCAGAAGCACAGGCCGAGCUGUGCUCCUGCAGUACUGCAGCUCUUCUGCUCCCACCCACAGGCGCUGCCAGGGUGGCGGUGCAGAUCAUGGCUGAAAGGUGAGUGAUGGCAGCACUUGGUUAUCAAACAGGCUGCGGUAACACACUGUGUUGGUUUGGGUUUGAAAUCCAAAGUUGGGAUUUUACCUGCCUGUGAGACUCAUUCUAGAGAACAGCCGGUGUUCAUGGAGGAGGAGGUGUGCUGCAGGUCACAGGUCUCUGUGCUGGGGCACAAGGAGUGCCAGCAGUGAGACAGAGCCAACAGUGGGACAGAGCACCUGAGGGAGGCAGGCUGGGUGACAGGGCUUAGUGCCUUGCUCCAGGGCGCUGCCUGUACUCCCGGACCCAGGGCUGGGGGGGCAGGGGCAGGCACCCAGAGGCCUUGAUGUGACCUCACCACUGAGCCCCUGUGUGGGAAUACUGGUGUGUGGCCAGGGCAAGGCCAGGUACUGAAGCAAGAGGCCUGGGUGAUCACAAGGCUCCUGCAGAAAUGCUCACAGACCUGUGCUGCAUGGCUCACCUUCCCUGCACUGUGACUGGGGCUCAGCACGUGACACAAUGAUGGCACAGAUGGUGACACAAUUGCUGCCAUGGUCCCACAGUGCAGUCAGAGCUGCUCCACGGGGCCUCAUCCCUGCCCUCUCUGGGCAUCCACAGGACUCCUAUACUUUCCCAGCCCAGAAUGCAGAGACAGCUAUCAUCCCACUGUCUACACUGUCAAAUAUGUUUCCAUCUCCUGUCCUCUUAGAUUACCAUCCCUGGGUAUCCCUGCUUGCCCCACAGACCAGGGUGCACACCUGUGUGGCAGACAUGUAGAAGGCAGCAGGGCUCUGGGCAGAAUAGCAAUGAUGACAUGGCCCCAUGGCUCUCAGAGCUACCACCACAGGGAACACCUCCCCUACUUCCAGUCUCAUCCACAUGGGGCAGGUCCAGGGCUGGGACACUGUCCCUCAGCUUGCUGCCCCUAGACAGUGACUGCCUUGGCCCCAUCACAGGCAGGACCGCAGCAGCAGUCACGUGUCCCUUGUACUUUCCUCUUCUCUGUGCAGAGCACUCUGAGCCUGCUCACUCCUAGUCAGCAAUUUCUGUUGUUCACCCAGUUGGGGUUUGCAAAGGCUUUCACCCACACUCCUGCACCUCCUGCUCAUGCCUUCCCAUACAGAGCAAAAAUCAACACAAAAAUUCCAUCUGUAUGCAGAAAAACAUUCCAACUAGGCUAUUUUCAAUGCUGCCAGCCUGGGCCAAGCAGAGCUGCCCACGAGGAGUAAAGGACAACGCUCUGAGCUGGAGCCAGAGUGCAAGAGCAGUGCAGAGUGGCUGAGGUGCAGCAAGGUGAUGCACAACAAAAGGACCUCCUGCUCAGUAACUGGAGAUGUUAGUUCUUUAACAGACAUUGAAUAGUGUAUGGGAACUGUUGAAUCAAAGCCUGAACCUCUGAUUGACCACCUGAGGCAAACACCGAGUCAGCCACAGGAGUGUAGGUGAAGGCAAUUCAUCUGUGUGACUGGAAGGGGUGGAGCCACGCUCUGCCUCUCCUAGACCCCAUUUAAGGGCUGACUGCCAGAGAGGAAGGAUCUUUUCCUGGAGAUUGCUCCUUGUGGAGUUUUUGUGGACCUACAACACUGGUACCCAAGCAUCGCACCCGUUUGUGAGCCAGCCAACAUACAAGAACACAUGUGGGACUGACACAUCUACAGGCUCCAGGGCAAGGGACAAGGCAGACCACACCCCAGCUCCUCACAACCCACCCCCCUCUGGAGGGUACCCCAGCAGGAGCUGCCCUCCUCUAUCCCAAGGCCAGCAGGCUUGACAUCUGUACCACUUUUCUACAGAUGCUUCUGGGUGGCUUUAGUACCCCACCAGGAAAGGCAAGUUGUUACCUGUAGCCUUGGGAGACCUGACUCCUUCCCACAUCUCUUAAAUCAACAACUCAAGUGUUUGUUACAAAGUUAUUUAUUAGAAUAUUACAUUGCCCUUAAAAAAUAAAAGAGGCCUGACCCACGCAAGGGUCAUCUUGACCUACACAAAGAGUGCAGAGGCAGACCUCC
Molecule: long non-coding RNA, 2723 nt
Organism: Gallus gallus (chicken)
Lineage: Eukaryota; Metazoa; Chordata; Aves; Galliformes; Phasianidae
Exons: 2
Source: RefSeq, a predicted model, not a curated record